Molecule: ribosomal RNA, 1279 nt
Filed under: Salmonella enterica subsp. enterica
Lineage: Bacteria; Pseudomonadati; Pseudomonadota; Gammaproteobacteria; Enterobacterales; Enterobacteriaceae
Description: bacterial LSU rRNA
Rfam family: Bacterial large subunit ribosomal RNA
Source: RNAcentral
GGGUUGUGAGGUUAAGCGACUAAGCGUACACGGUGGAUGCCCUGGCAGUCAGAGGCGAUGAAGGACGUGCUAAUCUGCGAUAAGCGCCGGUAAGGUGAUAUGAACCGUUAUAACCGGCGAUUUCCGAAUGGGGAAACCCAGUGUGACUCGUCACACUAUCAUUAACUGAAUCCAUAGGUUAAUGAGGCGAACCGGGGGAACUGAAACAUCUAAGUACCCCGAGGAAAAGAAAUCAACCGAGAUUCCCCCAGUAGCGGCGAGCGAACGGGGAGGAGCCCAGAGCCUGAAUCAGCAUGUGUGUUAGUGGAAGCGUCUGGAAAGGCGCGCGAUACAGGGUGACAGCCCCGUACACAAAAGCGCAUGUGUUGUGAGCUCGAUGAGUAGGGCGGGACACGUGGUAUCCUGUCUGAAUAUGGGGGGACCAUCCUCCAAGGCUAAAUACUCCUGACUGACCGAUAGUGAACCAGUACCGUGAGGGAAAGGCGAAAAGAACCCCGGCGAGGGGAGUGAAAAAGAACCUGAAACCGUGUACGUACAAGCAGUGGGAGCCCCACCACUAAGCCAGUGGUGAACUCCACAUACGCAUCCUUUGCUGAAGGUGCGGUUAACGGAGCGCAAGCGACGUUCAACCUCAAAAGAAGCAGAGGGGGCUUAGUGGUGGGGUGACUGCGUACCUUUUGUAUAAUGGGUCAGCGACUUAUAUUCUGUAGCAAGGUUAACCGCAUAGGGGAGCCGGAGGGAAACCGAGUCUUAAUUGGGCGUUAAGUUGCAGGGUAUAGACCCGAAACCCGGUGAUCUAGCCAUGGGCAGGUUGAAGGUUGGGUAACACUAACUGGAGGACCGAACCGACUAAUGUUGAAAAAUUAGCGGAUGACCUGUGGCUGGGGGUGAAAGGCCAAUCAAACCGGGAGAUAGCUGGUUCUCCCCGAAAGCUAUUUAGGUAGCGCCUCGUGAAUUCAUCUCCGGGGGUAGAGCACUGUUUCGGCUAGGGGGCCAUCCCGGCUUACCAACCCGAUGCAAACUGCGAAUACCGGAGAAUGUUAUCACGGGAGACACACGGCGGGUGCUAACGUCCGUCGUGAAGAGGGAAACAACCCAGACCGCCAGCUAAGGUCCCAAAGUCAUGGUUAAGUGGGAAACGAUGUGGGAAGGCCCAGACAGCCAGGAUGUUGGCUUAGAAGCAGCCAUCAUUUAAAGAAAGCGUAAUAGCUCACUGGUCGAGGCGGCCUGCGCGGAAGAUGUAACGGGGCUAAACCAUGCACCGAAGCUGCGGCAGCGA